CCCUCUGGGAGGCGGCUGAAACCCGGUGAGAAUUCGAGCGUGGCGCGGGUGGGCCAGCAGUGUUUGGGGACCCGGAGCACUCUCCACAGCUGCUGGUCCAGGUGCUAAGUCCCUCACUGCCCAGCACCUGCAGCGCCGACCGGCCGCUCUUGAGUGCGGGGCCUGCAGAGCCCACGCCCACCCGGAACUCGCGCUGGCCCGUGAGCGCCGUGCCGCAGCCCCGGUUCCCGCCCGCGCCUCUCCCUCCACACUUCGCCGCAAGCAGAGGGAGCCGGCUCCGGCCUCAGCUGGCCCAGAGAGGGGCUCCCUCAGUGCAGUGGCGAGCUGAAGGGCUCCUCAAGGGCGGCUGGAGUGGACGCUGAGGCCGAGGAGACGCCAAGAGCAAACGAGGGCUGCUAGUACAUUGUCACCUCUCACUGGUAACUACAGUUGCUGUCAGUUUAACUGAUGCAAGAGAAGAUAAGGAAGACAAGAUCUCAACCACUUUCAGCAAAGCUUUGCGGAGAAUGCAACAUCCUUCAAGACACCAUGAAGCUCCACGCAUCUGGUCAUCUUGUUUCUUCAGGGAAUAAAUUUAUUGUUCUCUGCUUCAGGUGACUGGAGGAGACAAAGUGAUCCCCC
Molecule: long non-coding RNA, 621 nt
Filed under: Homo sapiens (human)
Lineage: Eukaryota; Metazoa; Chordata; Mammalia; Primates; Hominidae
Description: non-protein coding lnc-TMEM170B-2:2
Source: RNAcentral